RNAcentral lists this ribosomal RNA (496 nucleotides) under Chrysotila carterae. RNAcentral describes it as "partial Bacterial small subunit ribosomal RNA". It matches the Rfam family "Bacterial small subunit ribosomal RNA", at positions 11 to 526 of the family's 1533-position model. The record is from RNAcentral. Lineage: Eukaryota; Haptophyta; Isochrysidales; Isochrysidaceae.
GUUUGAUCCUGGCUCAGGACGAACGCUGGCGGCGUGCUUAACACAUGCAAGUCGAACGGAAAGGCCCUGCUUGCAGGGUACUCGAGUGGCGAACGGGUGAGUAACACGUGAGUAACCUGCCCCUGACUCUGGGAUAACUGCUGGAAACGGUGGCUAAUACCGGAUAUGAGAUGGCCCUGCAUGGGGUUGUCUGGAAAGAUUUUUUGGUUGGGGAUGGGCUCGCGGCCUAUCAGCUUGUUGGUGGGGUAAUGGCCUACCAAGGCGGCGACGGGUAGCCGGCCUGAGAGGGUGGACGGCCACAUUGGGACUGAGAUACGGCCCAGACUCCUACGGGAGGCAGCAGUGGGGAAUAUUGCACAAUGGGGGAAACCCUGAUGCAGCGACGCCGCGUGAUUUAGAAGGCCUUCGGGUUGUAAAAAUCUUUUGUAUGGGAAGAAAAUGACAGUACCAUACGAAUAAGGACCGGCUAAUUACGUGCCAGCAGCCGCGGUAAUAC